Molecule: ribosomal RNA, 254 nt
Filed under: uncultured bacterium
Lineage: Bacteria
Description: partial 16S ribosomal RNA
Rfam family: Bacterial small subunit ribosomal RNA
Source: RNAcentral
UACGGGGGGAGCAAGCGUUGUUCGGAUUUACUGGGCGUAAAGGGCGCGUAGGCGGCCACCGCAAGUCAAUUGUGAAAUCUCCGGGCUUAACUCGGAAAGGUCAACUGAUACUGCGGGGCUAGAGUGCGGAAGGGGCAACUGGAAUUCUCGGGGUAGCGGUGAAAUGCGUAGAUAUCGAGAGGAACACCUGCGGCGAAGGCGGGUUGCUGGGCCGACACUGACGCUGAGGCGCGAAAGCCAGGGGAGCGAACAGG